CCCGAAAGAUCGAACGGGGAGAUUCAUCGUCAACGAUCGCGGCUUCGCCGAGGCUCGUGAUGUCGCGGACUUCGCGUCCGCGGUACACGGUCGCGCGCGUUAUGCCCGCGCUCGUCGGCGUGCACUUCUCCCCCAGUAGGACGUCGCGACCCGUUGGACGUCGGCGUAAGGCUCGUAUGGUAGACUGUCUCGGCGUUCGCGCCGGGGCAGACCUUCGGUUGCCCGGCCGGCUGUCCGGCGGUACUCGCACGGUAUCGAGCCGCAUCGAACAUGCGUCCAGCCCGUCGCAAGCGCGGUCAGCGAUUCCCGGUGGUACGGACCUAGUGCCGUCCCCGGGCCUGGCCAGCUGUUAGCAGACGGUGUCCUCGGACCGGCUCGCUCGUUUACCGGUCGGCGACGCUACUGCUUUGGGUACUUUCA
RNAcentral lists this ribosomal RNA (420 nucleotides) under nr. Busalus sp. SS-2014. Its description in RNAcentral is "eukaryotic LSU rRNA". Lineage: Eukaryota; Metazoa; Arthropoda; Insecta; Hymenoptera; Pergidae. The record is from RNAcentral.